Molecule: non-coding RNA, 213 nt
Filed under: Neobacillus niacini
Lineage: Bacteria; Bacillati; Bacillota; Bacilli; Caryophanales; Bacillaceae
Description: Bacillus niacini partial 16S ribosomal RNA
Rfam family: Bacterial small subunit ribosomal RNA
Source: RNAcentral
GCAAGUCGAGCGAAUCUUGAGGUGCUUGCACCUCUUGGUUAGCGGCGGACGGGUGAGUAACACGUGGGCAACCUGCCUGUAAGACUGGGAUAACUUCGGGAAACCGAAGCUAAUACCGGAUAAUCCUUUUCCUCUCAUGAGGGAAAGUUGAAAGUCGGUUUACGCUGACACUUACAGAUGGGCCCGCGGCGCAUUAGCUAGUUGGUGAGGUAA